UACGAAGGGGGCUAGCGUUGUUCGGAAUUACUGGGCGUAAAGCGCGCGCAGGCGGCUAUCCAAGUCAGUGGUGAAAGCCCGGAGCUCAACUCCGGAACUGCCAUUGAAACUGUUUAGCUUGAGGACGAGAGAGGUGAGUGGAAUUCCCAGUGUAGAGGUGAAAUUCGUAGAUAUUGGGAAGAACACCGGUGGCGAAGGCGGCUCACUGGCUCGUAUCUGACGCUCAGGCGCGACAGCGUGGGGAGCGAACAGG
This 253-nucleotide ribosomal RNA is filed under the name uncultured bacterium. Its description in RNAcentral is "partial 16S ribosomal RNA". It matches the Rfam family "Bacterial small subunit ribosomal RNA", at positions 524 to 776 of the family's 1533-position model. The record is from RNAcentral.